UGUAAACCUCUUUUAGCAAGGAAGAAGCGAAAGUGACGGUACUUGCAGAAAAAGCACCGGCUAACUACGUGCCAGCAGCCGCGGUAAUACGUAGGGUGCAAGCGUUAUCCGGAAUUAUUGGGCGUAAAGAGCUCGUAGGCGGUUUGUCGCGUCUGCUGUGAAAUCUGGGGGCUCAACCCCCAGCCUGCAGUGGGUACGGGCAGACUAGAGUGCGGUAGGGGAGAUUGGAAUUCCUGGUGUAGCGGUGGAAUGCGCAGAUAUCAGGAGGAACACCGAUGGCGAAGGCAGAUCUCUGGGCCGUAACUGACGCUGAGGAGCGAAAGGGUGGGGAGCAAACAGGCUUAGAUACCCUGGUAGUCCACCCCGUAAACGUUGGGAACUAGUUGUGGGGACCAUUCCACGGUUUCCGUGACGCAGCUAACGCAUUAAGUUCCCCGCCUGGGGAGUACGGCCGCAAGGCUAAAACUCAAAGGAAUUGACGGGGACCCGCACAAGCGGCGGAGCAUGCGGAUUAAUUCGAUGCAACGCGAAGAACCUUACCAAGGCUUGACAUAUUCGAGAACGCCGUAGAAAUACGGAACUCUU
This 585-nucleotide ribosomal RNA is filed under the name Microbacterium sp. Ri3Pt_4340. Its description in RNAcentral is "bacterial SSU rRNA". It matches the Rfam family "Bacterial small subunit ribosomal RNA", at positions 424 to 1018 of the family's 1533-position model. The record is from RNAcentral. Lineage: Bacteria; Bacillati; Actinomycetota; Actinomycetes; Micrococcales; Microbacteriaceae.